CGGUCUGUCAAGUCGGAUGUGAAAUCCCCGGGCUCAACCUGGGAACUGCAUUCGAAACUGGCAGGCUUGAGUCUUGUAGAGGGGGGUAGAAUUCCAGGUGUAGCGGUGAAAUGCGUAGAGAUCUGGAGGAAUACCGGUGGCGAAGGCGGCCCCCUGGACAAAGACUGACGCUCAGGUGCGAAAGCGUGGGGAGCAAACAGGAUUAGAUACCCUGGUAGUCCACGCCGUAAACGAUGUCUACUUGGAGGUUGUGCCCUUGAGGCGUGGCUUCCGGAGCUAACGCGUUAAGUAGACCGCCUGGGGAGUACGGCCGCAAGGUUAAAACUCAAAUGAAUUGACGGGGGCCCGCACAAGCGGUGGAGCAUGUGGUUUAAUUCGAUGCAACGCGAAGAACCUUACCUGGUCUUGACAUCCACGGAAGUUUUCAGAGA
RNAcentral lists this ribosomal RNA (431 nucleotides) under Salmonella enterica. Its description in RNAcentral is "bacterial SSU rRNA". It matches the Rfam family "Bacterial small subunit ribosomal RNA", at positions 576 to 1006 of the family's 1533-position model. RNAcentral also lists the same sequence under 1 other name. Lineage: Bacteria; Pseudomonadati; Pseudomonadota; Gammaproteobacteria; Enterobacterales; Enterobacteriaceae. The record is from RNAcentral.